CUACGGGGGGCACCAGUGAGGAAUAUUGCACAAUGGGGGGAACCCUGAUGCAGCAACGCCGCGUGGAGGAUGACGCAUUUCGGUGUGUAAACUCCUUUUAUAUGUCAAGAAAAUGACGGUAGCAUAUGAAUAAGCACCGGCUAACUCCGUGCCAGCAGCCGCGGUAAUACGGAGGGUGCAAGCGUUACUCGGAAUCACUGGGCGUAAAGGACGCGUAGGCGGGUUGGAAAGCCAGGUGUGAAAUCCUACAGCUUAACUGUAGAACUGCACUUGAAACUUCUAAUCUAGAGUAUGGGAGGGGGAGAUGGAAUUAGUGGUGUAGGGGUAAAAUCCGUAGAUAUCACUAGGAAUACCUAAAGCGAGGGCGAUCUCCUGGAACAUUACUGACGCUAAGGCGUGAAAGCGUGGGGAGCAAACAGGAUUAGAUACCCGGGUAGUC
RNAcentral lists this ribosomal RNA (439 nucleotides) under uncultured bacterium. RNAcentral's name for it is "partial 16S ribosomal RNA". It matches the Rfam family "Bacterial small subunit ribosomal RNA", at positions 339 to 795 of the family's 1533-position model. The record is from RNAcentral.